This 433-nucleotide ribosomal RNA is filed under the name uncultured bacterium. RNAcentral's name for it is "partial 16S ribosomal RNA". It matches the Rfam family "Bacterial small subunit ribosomal RNA", at positions 29 to 507 of the family's 1533-position model. The record is from RNAcentral.
AACGAACGCUGGCGGCAUGCCUAACACAUGCAAGUCGAACGAGACCUUCGGGUCUAGUGGCGCACGGGUGCGUAACGCGUGGGAACCUGCCCUUAGGUUCGGAAUAACUCCCCGAAAGGGGUGCUAAUACCGGUUAAUGUCUUCGGACCAAAGAUUUCUCGCCUUUGGAUGGGCCCGCGUUGGAUUAGCUAGUUGGUAGGGUAAAAGCCUACCAAGGCGACGAUCCAUAGCUGGUCUGAGAGGAUGAUCAGCCACACUGGGACUGAGACACGGCCCAGACUCCUACGGGAGGCAGCAGUGGGGAAUAUUGGACGAUGGGCGAAAGCCUGAUCCAGCAAUGCCGCGUGAGUGAUGAAGGCCUUAGGGUUGUAAAGCUCUUUUACCCGGGAUGAUAAUGACAGUACCGGGAGAAUAAGCACCGGCUAACUCCGUG